AGCCCCGCCCCGCCCCGCCCCGCGCCUGCCUUGCCCGGUCCGCCCUGUCUUCCAGCAGGGCGGGGCCCGGCUCCGGUUGUUCCGCCACGUUUGAGCGGGCGAGCCCGGCGGCCGGGAGACGCCAGGGAACGGGGCUGGUGGGGGUACAAAGGCUCGGUUCCGUCGCCUUCAGCCCUGCGGUGGGGGCACGGGGCAAGUGAGGGGACGGCAGAGGCGGCGUUCGGUGUGAGGCUGCGCCCUGGGCUCCUGAAAAUCCAGGGCUGCAGUCAUUUGAAGGCUUGACUGGGGCUGGAGGAUUUUCAUCCAAGAUGGCUCACUCACCCAGCUGUUGGCAGGAGACCUCGGUUCUUUGACUUCUCCGUAAGACUGUAGAUCUGGUAUUACUAUAUUGCCUAGAAUGGACUUGAACUCCUAGGCCGAAGGGAUCCUGCCAUCUGAAUUUCCCAAGUAACUGAGAUUACAGACAUGAGCCACCAUGUCUGGCUCUCUCCCAGUGUAUUGAAGGGGUCCAUGCAAUUUCUACCUCCAUUACGUCACUCAGACUGCUUGGUACAUUACCAAAGACCAAAGACCAAAGACCAAAUCCAUGACCAUUUACUCAUCUUUCAAGACUCAGAAGUCAGCUGUGGUACCAAGCCUUUUCUGACCUUCCCAGAUGAAUAACCAAUGCAGAGAGAUGAGGAAAUUUACCAAAGCCAUACAACUAGGACUGGGGACUAAAGGCAAUAGCUUGACUUCUGAAAAGGGCUGGACUGAAGGUCAGCCACAUGGGCAGUGUGAAGGAUCCCCAGCAAAACUCUGGACAUCAGUGGCUGGGCAAGCUUCUCUGGUUGGCGGUACUCUGCAUAUUGUCACACAUCAACUCUGGGAGAAGAUCAUACUGUUCAUGUCUCCACAAGGGGAGGACAGCUGGAAACUCAGUGUCUGGACCUCUUUCCUUGGCUGAUUUUAUUGUGUAUCCUUUCAUUACAAUAAGCUGUAGCCCUGAAUAUAACAGCUUUCAGUGGGCUCUGAGAGUCAUUUUAGUGAGUUAUCAAAACUAAGGGCAGUUUGGGAAUCCCCCUUACUCGUACUUGGUAUCAGAAGCAAGGAUGGCAACCUGUGGGGACUGGUCCCCCUAACCUACAUAGUUGGCCUCAACUCCUGCCAACUCUGUCUCUCUCUCAAACUAAACCCUAGAGUACCUUGUAAUUACUUACCCUUCUUUGAAGAAAGUUAUAUGCCUGAUUUCGUCCUUUUCUCAUUUCUCAUUUACACUUCAGCUAAUUGUGAUUAGACUUGUUCUCACUGUUCCACUCUAAAUGCUCUGACAGAGAUCAUGAAUAAUUGCCUGUUUGCAGCUCAGUCAUCUAUUUGGUAAUUAAACACAUUUUUAUUUAGUGUCACCACAAGUCAGGUAUAAUGUUGGGCCAUGAGAGUUCAGUGAUUACCAAAAUAAAAGCAUUCCUUGCCCUCACAGCACUUAUAGUCCAGUAGGGGGUUCAGGCAAGCCCUCAGAAAACAGCAUGCUAAGGUCUAUGUUAUGGGAAAUAGGGGAGCUAUGGCAGACUUCCUUGGGGCUGGGGGGGGUGGGUGGUCCCAGCCCCCUCUCCUUAGCA
Molecule: long non-coding RNA, 1598 nt
Filed under: Homo sapiens (human)
Lineage: Eukaryota; Metazoa; Chordata; Mammalia; Primates; Hominidae
Description: HSALNT0347158
Source: RNAcentral